UACAUAGGUCUCAAGCGUUGUUCGGAUUCAUUGGGCGUAAAGGGUGCGUAGGCGGCGCGGUAAGUCGGGUGUGAAAUCUCGGGGCUUAACUCCGAAACUGCAUUCGAUACUGCCGUGCUUGAGGACUGGAGAGGAGACUGGAAUUUACGGUGUAGCGGUGAAAUGCGUAGAUAUCGUAAGGAAGACCAGUGGCGAAGGCGGGUCUCUGGACAGUUCCUGACGCUGAGGCACGAAGGACAGGGGAGCAAACGGG
RNAcentral lists this ribosomal RNA (253 nucleotides) under uncultured bacterium. RNAcentral's name for it is "partial 16S ribosomal RNA". It matches the Rfam family "Bacterial small subunit ribosomal RNA", at positions 524 to 776 of the family's 1533-position model. The record is from RNAcentral.